UCUGAUGUGAAAGCCCACGGCUCAACCGUGGAGGGUCAUUGGAAACUGGGGAACUUGAGGACAGAAGAGGAGAGUGGAAUUCCACGUGUAGCGGUGAAAUGCGUAGAUAUGCUGGAGGAACACCAGUGGCGAAGGCGACUCUCUGGUCUGUUUCUGACGCUGAGGUGCGAAAGCGUGGGUAGCAAACAGGAUUAAAUACCCUGGUAGUCCACGCCGUAAACGAUGAGUGCUAGGUGUUAGGGGGCUUCCACCCCUUAUGGCUGAAGUUAACGCAUUAAUCACUCCGCCUGGGGAGUACGGCCGCAAGGCUGAAACUCAAAGGAAUUGACGGGGGCCCGCACAAGCGGUGGAGCAUGUGGUUUAAUUCAAACCAACGCGAAAAACUUUACCAGGUCUUGACAUCCUUGGACAAUCCUAAAGAUAGGACUUUCCCUUCGGGGACCAAGUGACAGGUGGUGCAUGGUUGUCGUCAGCUCGUGUCGUGAGAUGUUGGGUUAACGUCCCGCAACGAGCGCAACCCCUAAUCUUAUUUGCCAGCAUUCAGUUGGGCACUCUAAGGUGACUGCC
This 567-nucleotide ribosomal RNA is filed under the name Halobacillus trueperi. Its description in RNAcentral is "bacterial SSU rRNA". It matches the Rfam family "Bacterial small subunit ribosomal RNA", at positions 588 to 1153 of the family's 1533-position model. Lineage: Bacteria; Bacillati; Bacillota; Bacilli; Caryophanales; Bacillaceae. The record is from RNAcentral.